Molecule: long non-coding RNA, 761 nt
Filed under: Homo sapiens (human)
Lineage: Eukaryota; Metazoa; Chordata; Mammalia; Primates; Hominidae
Description: HSALNT0296762
Source: RNAcentral
CGUCACCACAGCUUCAGGCCUGGGGGGCUUCGGCCACUGAGAUGAGGGGUUCAGGCCAGGUUUCAGAGUCCCACCAGGCCUCCCUCUUGCAACAGAAGGAAAGUCCACACUGAGGAGGAUCAUGGCCUGCUACGGUCGAAGUGCAAGGCACGCGUCAGAAGCAGUGGCUCCUUCUGCAGCAGGACUCACCUACUGACUCAGAAGGACGUCCUCCAGGGACAGCCAGCUCCUCCUCUGAGCGCACAGCCCAUGUCCUCUGCUGUGCGCUCCUCGCGCGAACCGACCCCACCUCGGACCGGAAGCCACCUUGGGCUGGAGGAUGCCAUGAAGUCUCUCUGGUUCAACGUGCAUGCACCGUCUCACUUAACCUGGGUUACUCUGUAUGAGUUGCACAGAAAAGGCCAACAUGGACAUCUGAGGACAGACAGCACAGGAGUACAGGAACUAAUGCAAAUUGCAUGUGAAUGACAUCCCCAUGCAGGCCACUACUGACCACACUUACCCUCCCAUUUCACACACCUGCUUGGGACUAUCCUUCCUGGAGGCCACUGGAACUUCUGGAGCCACCUGCAGCACUUCUGAUGCAUUUCCUAGGUGGUGAUUUCCCAGCCCUGACACUGGUGACAGCUGUGGGUCUUACUCCACCAUAGCCAGAGGAGAAUGUGUCUGCCACUGCAUCAGCGGAAGGAGAGGGAGUUGGGGGUGGUCACCAGCUUCCCAGGCUUCACUUUCCCCACUUAUAAAUGAGGGGCUGGAACUUU